AUGAAAAUCUCAAGGUGGAAAUGUUGUGGGAUAGACGAUCCCGCGACAGUUCGUGAGCUCCGCGACCUUGUGGAGAUCAGAUCGCCUACUAUCCUUAGUUUAGUUGAAACUCAAUUACACAAGAGUCAUGUCGAAGGUCUUUGUUUUUAUUUAGGUUAUGAUUUUAGUUUCGGAGUUGGUAGCAGUUGUCAUAGUGGUGGUAUUUGUAUCUUUUGGAAGAAUUAUGUGGAUGCUGCAAUAAAGAACUAUUUAGAGCAUCACGUGGAUGCUUGGUUCUAG
RNAcentral lists this ribosomal RNA (279 nucleotides) under Triticum aestivum (bread wheat). Its description in RNAcentral is "partial small subunit ribosomal RNA". Lineage: Eukaryota; Viridiplantae; Streptophyta; Magnoliopsida; Poales; Poaceae. The record is from RNAcentral.